Molecule: ribosomal RNA, 2540 nt
Filed under: freshwater metagenome
Description: bacterial LSU rRNA
Rfam family: Bacterial large subunit ribosomal RNA
Source: RNAcentral
AGUAAUCCGAGACACGAAUAGCUUGGAUGAAGCUACCGGAACUAACCGGUAAGGCUAAAUACGUGUAGAGAUCGAUAGUGAACUAGUACCGUGAGGGAAAGGUGAAAAGAACCCCGAUAAGGGGAGUGAAAUAGAUCUGAAACCAUACAUCUACAAAGAGUCGAAGAGGUCCUAGACCUCGACGGCGUGCCUAUUGAAGAAUGAGCCUGCGAGUGUAUGCAUGUGGCGCAUGACUAAGGGGUCAACCCCCGGAGUCGUAGGGAAACCGAGCGUUAAAAGCGCGAUAGUCGUAUGCAUAUGACCCGAAGCGAGGUGAGCUUGCCAUGAGCAGGGUGAACGUGGACGAAAGUCCACGGGAGGCCCGAACCCGUUGGUCGUUUAACGCCUUGGGAUGACUUGUGGUAAGGAGUGAAAAGCUAAUCGAACUUCGUGAUAGCUGGUUCUCUCCGAAACAGCUUUUGGGCUGGCGUCUCGUAUUAACCCUCGGGGGUAGAGCACUGGAAGAGGUGAACAGGGAGCAAUCUCGUCACUUCUAUCAAACUCCGAAUACCGAGUAGUACGACGAGGCAGUUAGACCAUGGGGGCGAAGCUCCAUUGGUCGAGAAGGGAAGAGCCUAGAUCUCAAGUUAAGGUCCCUAAAUCUAUGCUAAGUGCAUCUUAAGGAGGUGGAAAUUCUAUGACAGUGAGGAGGUUGGCUUAGAAGCAGCCACCCUUCAAAGAAAGCGUAACAGCUCACUCAUCGAGAAUUUCUGCGCCGAAGAUAAUCGGGGCUAAGCAUAGUACCGACACUGAGGACUCGUGACCGCUCCGGCGGACACGAUUGGUAGGAGAGCGUUCCAAUCCGCGAUGAAGGUAAAGGGGUGACCCAUACUGGAGCGUUUGGAAGUGAGAAUGCAGGCACAAGUAACCGCAAUGCGGGUGAGAACCCCGCACGUCGAAAGAUCAAGGUUUCCGCGGCACUGUCGAUCAACCGCGGGUUAGUCGGGCCUAAGGGGAUGGCGAAAGCCGCACCCGAUGGACACAUGGUUACUAUUCCAUGACUCGACAUGAUGGCGAAGGAGCAACGGAGUGUAGUACACACUGCGCAUUACUGGAUUUGCGUCCAGGUCGUGAGGAGGUAGGCUAGGAAAAUCCGGCCUACGCAUUCUCCAAGCGACACGGCAAUUUUCUGGGCAACCAGAGGAGAGAGUGUGGAGCACGCUUCCGAGAAAAACUUCUACGCUUAACAUCAUGUCAUCCGUACCGCAAACCAACACAGGUGAUCAGGGCGAGUAGCCCAAGACGAACGAGUGAGAGGUCCUCAAGGAACUCGGCAAAAAAGCGGCCGUAACUUCGGGAUAAGGCCUGCCCCGCCUUCAAGGCGGGGCCGCAGCGAAAGUUUCUCUGGCAACUGUUUACCAAAAACACAGCUCCCUGCGAACUCGCAAGAGGAUGUAUAGGGGGUGACGCCUGACCAAUGCCAGAAGGUCAAAUGUGGGGGGUAUGCGCCGCAAGGUGCAUGCUGAUCUACAUAAGCCCUGGUGAAUGUCGGCGAUAACUAUAAUCGUCCUAAGGUAGCGUAAUUCCUUGUCUGGUAGGUGAACUGCCAGUGCUCUCGGUGACGAGGGUAACAAAUCCGGCUCAUAACGGUGGAGCCCUCAUUCGAAAUGAAUGAGGGUAAUACCGUGGGAAGUCGUCCUAAGUGUAAUUAUGAAGGAUUGACCCCGUAUCGACUGUAGUCCCCACUAGUUAGUGGUGACUACGAUGGAGGUGCUGUACCCUAUAGGUAUGAGACACCUCCAUAACACGCCGGCUCUGAAAAACAGAAGCGUUGCAGAGUAUAUUUCUGGUUUUGCAGACGGUGAAGGAUGCUUUUCAGUAUCAUUCACCAAACGCCCACGAUUCCUCGUUGGGUGGGAGACAAAACCAAGUUUUUCGGUGAGUCAAAAUCGUAAUCGCGCACAACAGCUCUUCAUUAUGCAAAAGUAUUUUGGAUGCGGCUUUAUGCGCGACGGAAUAGUCGACAACACUAUCAAAUAUGAAGUGCGUCGACUCGAUGACUUACUUGAAAAAGUAAUUCCUCACUUUGAACGGUACCCACUGCUUUCAAGCAAGCAACGUGACGUCAAAGCAUUGAAAGAGGUGUGUCUCAUUAUGAAAAAGAAUGAACACAUCACUACUCAAGGAUUACGGAAGAUACUUCCUAUCGCAUUCAGUAUGAAUGGAAGCGGUAAACGGAAGUAUUCACAGAAAGACAUUCUGUCGUUUAUGAAAAUUCAGAUGAAGGUAUAGUCAGUGCCCUUGGUAACAAGGGAAGCGUCUGUGGAGGUUUGCACGCUCCACACUAAAGACACAUGAAGUUCAGACGUGCACGAAUGGCGUAAUGACUGGAGAACUGUCUCGAGGACUUGCUCGGUGAAAAUACAAUACCGGUGAAGAUGCCGGUUACCCGUGGUUAGACGAAAAGACCCCAGAAGCUUUACUGUAGCUUCAUAUUGGGGCUGCGGAGUGUAUGCGUAGCAUAGGUGGGAGAGGUUGAAGUAUUCCUUUCGGGGAAUAUG